GACGAACGCUGGCGGCGUGCCUAAUACAUGCAAGUAGGACGCAGUUGCGAACGGGUGAGUAACGCGUAUGUAACUACCUAUUAGAGGGGGAUAACUAUUGGAAACGAUAGCUAAUACCGCAUACUAGUAGAUGGACCUGCGUUGUAUUAGCUAGUAGGUAGGGUAGUGGACUACCUAGGCAACGAUACAUAGCCGACCUGAGAGGGUGAUCGGCCACACUGGGACUGAGACACGGCACAGAAUACUACGGGAGGAGGCAGUAGGGAGUCUACGGCAAUGGGGAGAACCCAGACCGAGCAACGCAGAGUGAGUGAGGAGGGUUUUCGGAUCGUAAAGCUCUGUUGUUAAGGAAGCGGUACUUAACCGGAAAGGGACGGCUAACUACGUGACAGCAGCCGCGGUAAUAC
Molecule: ribosomal RNA, 407 nt
Filed under: uncultured bacterium
Lineage: Bacteria
Description: partial 16S ribosomal RNA
Rfam family: Bacterial small subunit ribosomal RNA
Source: RNAcentral